Molecule: transfer RNA, 84 nt
Filed under: Bacteriophage sp.
Also listed under: 1 other name
Description: tRNA-Cys
Rfam family: tRNA
About the family: Transfer RNA (tRNA) molecules are approximately 80 nucleotides in length. Their secondary structure includes four short double-helical elements and three loops (D, anti-codon, and T loops).
Source: RNAcentral
GCGACUGUGGCCCAGUGGACAAAGGCGGGUGCCUGCAAAGCACUUAUUUUUUUAUCGUUGGUUCAAAUCCAACCAGUCGCUCCA